Long non-coding RNA from Haplochromis burtoni (Burton's mouthbrooder), 2350 nucleotides. RefSeq lists it as uncharacterized. The transcript has 3 exons. NCBI's taxonomy places the organism in Eukaryota, Metazoa, Chordata, Actinopteri, Cichliformes, Cichlidae. The record is from RefSeq and is a predicted model, not a curated record.
GGGGGAAUCACUUAAAUUGUGACAAUUUCUUGUUAACCUAAUGAAUGCAUUAUUCCCACAAAACAUCUUGUUUUAAUCUGCAAAAGAUGAAACACACACACUCACGACUUUUGAGUCAGCAAAACAGCAGCAGACCACUUCCUUUUUGGUGGCUCCUCCUCAGAUACAAAUAAAGCUCAAAGUGAAGUUCAAGUCUGCUUCUGUCUCAGUCUGAUGAUCAUGAUGUUGAAAUUAAACCAGGCAGCACUGCUCUUCACUCAGCUAUUAGUGGUGUGGCAUGUCUUUGCAGGUACAGAGUAUAUUUAUGUCUUUUUAUCCAGAUCAAAUACAAAUAUAUUUCUAAUUUUUUUUCCUUUAAACAAUAGAGUUUGUUGAAAAAGGACACAGAAAUAUGAUGGUGUUCACAGGAGAUUCUGUGACAAUGACUUGCAACAUAUCUGAGCCAAAUGCAACGCAAAUCUCAUGGACCAACAACAGAUCUGUUUUCCAAUAUUCCAUUGUGCUGAAUCGCACCUUUUCAAAUUUCUCAUUUUAUAAACUGAAAAUAAAUCACGAGUUACCUACAGAGAUAAUUAUUUUUAGUGCUCAAUCUGAGGAUAAAGGACUUUAUACAUGUAGCAUAACUGGCGCAGAUGGCCUACAGGGCAUUACGUGGAAUUUAACUGUGUCUGAGAAGCCCAAAGGUGGGUAGAACAAAAACAUCUCCCAAUCACUUUUAGUAAAGCUUCAAUAACCAAUGAAAAUUACAUCUAUGCUGCUUUACAGAAUCCAUUUCAAAGUAUUUUCUAUCCAUACUGUCAACUGCAAUUGGAUUUCUUCUAUGCGGCAUCAUGUUGGCUGUUUUCCUCUGCAGAAAAUUUAUGAUGAGGACACUGAAUCAGGAUCCAGUCGAGGAUCAAUUUCCUCCUCAGUCAGAAGAGGGUACCACUGCUCAUUUGAAAAAUACCACAUGGAGGAGUCAAUAUACAGAGUUGCAGAAUUCAAUCUAUGGUCACUUCUAAGCUGACGAGACAUCCAGAUAUACAGUUACACCGAGACUUGGACAUUUUUCUGUUUCAAAGCAGGAACUGCAAGGGAACACAAUCAGAGGGAGGACAACACUGCUACUGUAGCCUCUUCAGCUCAAGGGCACAUCUCUGGCUUCGAGCAUGGCAGUUUCAAUCAUUCACAUCCCUGUUUUUAGAAAAAGCAGGCAAUGAGAAGAAAGUUUGCAUUAUUGGAAGAGGGACAAACAUGUUGUUUCAGGGUCAGGAUGAAAUGCAACGCCCAGUAUUAGAUAAAAUACAGAUUCUCUGAAACUGUAAAUCAGACUUAGUGGAGUGGAGCCAAAGUAUAGAAAUAUGGAGCAGGAAAUUAGAAAUAGUAGGUGCCUUUACCACUUGUUUGAAUUUGACUGAAUGUUUUUUUUGUUUAUUUUGUUUUUUGUUUGGCUGCACUAUGACGUCAAACAAAGUUAUUGCCAUUUCAAGAAAGUAUUCUUAAAUCAAUGGUUUACCUGGAGCUUUGUCCACUAAGGUUUUGUGAGGGAAUAUCACAGAAUGGACAACUCCGAUUAGGUUAGCUUUUAAAUGUGUAUAAAAUCAAAUGGUUAUAAUUUCAUGAUUAAUGCUACAGUCCUCCAAGACUUCAUUACAUCCCAUCAGGGUAUUCAUGUUAUCUAGUCAGCUUUUAUUCAGAUCAUGUUAUUGAAGUACGGAUUGCUUGGAAUUGUUUUAAAAUGUCUUGUAAUUUAAAGUGAGACCUAAACUCAUUAACACAAACCACUGACCCAUCUGGCCAUAUGACAUUCAUUGAGUCACAAGACCCUGUUAGUACCAUAUAUAGUAUACUGCAGUAUAAACAACAGUGAAGAUAUGCCACAUCUUGUGGCCCUAUCCCAGUUGUUCUAAAAUACGUUGCUACCAUCAAAUUCAAAAUGAGUUUUUUAAAACUGUUUUUUAAAUUUAAAAAAAGUAAAAUAUUCAUUUAAACACUUGCUGCAUUUUUAAUUUUCUACUGUCAAUAAAAUCUGAGUUUAUGAGAUGUGGAAAUUUUUGCAUCCUGUUUUUAUUUACAAUUUAAAUAGCAUCCCAUCAGAACUUAGUUUGUAGAACAAAGUUUAGUGUCAUUCAUAAAAAAUGUGAAAUAAAGCGCUGCAUGGUCACAGUUUUACUUUUGCAGAAAAAGCCGGACCAGGUGCCUGAACAAGGACCUUUACAAAAACAGCUUGGAGGAAAGGUUAGAAUAACGUUGUAUUAUUCAGAUUUUCAUUUCUCACAGUGUUUUCAGUCAUGCAUUCACCUUUUUCAUAGCUUCCAUAGUUUUAUCUGUAAUUCUUGCAAUGAAAAAACAGUGUUACUAAUUUAUCUUA